Molecule: ribosomal RNA, 348 nt
Filed under: Triticum aestivum (bread wheat)
Lineage: Eukaryota; Viridiplantae; Streptophyta; Magnoliopsida; Poales; Poaceae
Description: partial small subunit ribosomal RNA
Source: RNAcentral
AUGCCAGAACAUGAGCUAUCUACAGUGGGCAUACAGAAUGUUCGCGAACUGAUCGCUAUAACAGCCUGGUAUUUAUGGUGGGAAAGGCGUUUGCUAGUUCAUCAGGGGAAGAUCCAAGAUGCAUACCAAAUUUCGAUGGGAGACCGUGCUACGAUGACGAACUAUGUUAUUGCCCAAUCCUCCAAGGCAACAAAUAAAAUAGAGGGAUGGACGAGACCCCCUCUAGGUUUUGUGAAAUUAAAUGUCGAUGCUUCUUUCAAUCAAGACAUGCUUAGAGGCACAGCGGGAGCUGUACUUAGAGAUGAUAAAGGAAGAUUUAUUGUUGGAGGGAAUUGGAAGAUGGAUUGA